Molecule: ribosomal RNA, 468 nt
Filed under: uncultured bacterium
Lineage: Bacteria
Description: partial 16S ribosomal RNA
Rfam family: Bacterial small subunit ribosomal RNA
Source: RNAcentral
GACGAACGCUGGCGGCGUGCUUAACACAUGCAAGUCGAACGGAAAGGCCCUGCUUUUGUGGGGUGCUCGAGUGGCGAACGGGUGAGUAACACGUGAGUAACCUGCCCUUGACUUUGGGAUAACUUCAGGAAACUGGGGCUAAUACCGGAUAGGAGCUCCUGCUGCAUGGUGGGGGUUGGAAAGUUUCGGCGGUUGGUGAUGGACUCGCGGCUUAUCAGCUUGUUGGUGGGGUAGUGGCUUACCAAGGCUUUGACGGGUAGCCGGCCUGAGAGGGUGACCGGCCACAUUGGGACUGAGAUACGGCCCAGACUCCUACGGGAGGCAGCAGUGCGGAAUAUUGCACAAUGGGCGGAAGCCUGAUGCAGCAACGCCGCGUGCGGGAUGACGGCCUUCGGGUUGUAAACCGCUUUCGCCUGUGACGAAGCGUGAGUGACGGUAAUGGGUAAAGAAGCACCGGCUAACUACGUG